UGAAUCUAAAUGGCAUCAUGUUUCUUUAUUUUGACUAGUCUUUUCCUUUCCUUACUUUUACCAGAUACCAAAUGGAGUUUGAGCAUGUAGUCUUACUCAACUUGUGCUACUAAUUAGAGUAUUUGUUGGUGAUAUUUUCUUUUUCAGGCCAAUAUCUAAAAGCUAAGGUUGAUGGAGGUUUUGGCAGGGACGUGCUGGAGUUUUUGCUGAAAGGAGAUGUGGUUGCUUAUAGAACCAUGGCUACCAGAGUUUCUUGAAAUAGCCUGAAGAUUAACUGAUUGAUAGAGUUGUCGACUUGUGAUGCAGCUGCAGCAGGGUCAUUUAUACAAUUUUUCCCUAAAAUGAAGGCACAAUACGAUUAUGGUUUGUUGAUGUUUAUAUUGACAUUCAGUUUGGUAUCUGUAAUGGGCUAUCCUCAACCAUCCUCAUUGGUAGUGCCACAGCUGUGGCAUCUACCCAAUGUGGGCUGGUGACGAUCUUUACAAUCUGGUUGCUGGCAAUGUUGAAAAGCUUGGGAACUUCUUAAAAGGAUUUUCAGGGAAAUAUUUUAGAGUCUCAGGAGAUGGAGAAUCCAAGGAUAGCAAAACAAUUCUUCAAGGAUACAAAAGUAUUUUGACUUCAAAAAUCACUGAAGAUUCCUUGACGAAUUUUGCAAAAUGGGAGCCUGGUCAUGGUCGUUUCAGGUUUCGUUGUCCUUAGAAACAAUACCAAAAGAUUGGAUCCCUAGCUGGUCAAUGCGCCUAUCAUAUUGAAGCUCUUAGCAGUAGCUACCCUCACUCUCAUAUCCCGGCCCCCACAGAGAUCCAAAACAAAAUUCAAGAGGCUUGCACAAAGAUGAGUACGAAAUCCAGAAAAGCUUUGAAGGAAUUAGCAUCUGCAAUCAAAAUUUUAUCUUUCUCAUUCAUAUUCAUACCGACUCUCUCAGUUCUCUCUCUAGAAUUUUCCUUCAAGUCCUGGAUUUGAAGAAGAAUUUGAGCCACAUGUUUCUUGUUUUCUUCAAAAUUUCUCAAGGAAAUUGAGAAGUGUGGAAGACGGAAAAGUAUUUGCAAUCUCAAAUUAAUGGUGUUGAGGAUGAAGCAGUGAAAGUCUCAGUCAAAGAACAGAUGAAUUCACACACUUAAACAUGAUUUCAUCUCAGGGAACUGCGCAACUAGCUCUUGAAGAUUGAUAAGCAUUGUGCUUUGUAAUGAUUGAAAAUCAUUACCAUGAAUCAAUGAAAAUUGAAAUAUGCUAAACACAAGGUAGAAUUGGAGCUUUGUGCAUAAAAAAAAAAUGUCAAACAGUUCCAUGAUCUUAACCUUCUUCAAAGGCUGGGAAAAAAAGCAAGCUUUAGAAUGCAUUUUGUGAGCAUAUGAAGACAUUGAACA
Vitis riparia (riverbank grape) is the source of this 1367-nucleotide long non-coding RNA. RefSeq lists it as uncharacterized. The transcript is spliced from 8 exons. Lineage: Eukaryota; Viridiplantae; Streptophyta; Magnoliopsida; Vitales; Vitaceae. The record is from RefSeq and is a predicted model, not a curated record.